GGACUACACGGGUAUCUAAUCCUGUUUGCUACCCACGCUUUCGUGUCUCAGCGUCAGUUACUGUCCAGAGAGCCGUCUACACCACAGGUGUUCCUCCUGAUAUCUACGCAUUUCACCGCUACACCAGGAAUUCCACUCUCCCAUCCAGUACUCUAGCCCUCCAGUUUUCGGCGCACCCUCCCAGUUGAGCCGGGAGAUUUCACACCAAACUUAGAGAACCGCCUACACACCCUUUACGCCCAGUAACUCCGAACAACGCUUGCUGCCUACGUAUUACCGCGGCGGCUGGCAC
Molecule: ribosomal RNA, 292 nt
Filed under: uncultured Acidobacteriota bacterium
Lineage: Bacteria; Pseudomonadati; Acidobacteriota
Description: uncultured Acidobacteria bacterium partial 16S ribosomal RNA
Source: RNAcentral